CCAAAAAUGGAAUUUUUGUACUAAAAAAGGGAAUUUUGGGGGUUAAAAAAUGGGGAUUUGUGGAAAAAAAGGGAAUUUUGGGGGGAAAAAAAGAGAAUUUGGGGUGAAAGGGGUGAAUUUCUAUUGGCCAGGCAAGCCCCGCCCCUCCGAGCUCUGGCCCUGCCCCCGCUGCACCUUCCUGAACAGAGGCCACGCCCACCAGUGCGAGAUCUGCGGCGCUGACCACGCCCCUUUGGAUGACGUCACUUCCGGUGACGCCCCACCCACCAAUAGGAUGGCCGCUGAAUCCCAGGGGCUCCCCCCGGAAUCCCUUGGCCCCGCCCCCUUUUCCACCCUUCCGGAACCUUCCGGCCCCGCCCCCAACCCCGAAUCCCAAAUCCGGCACUUCCGGAGCCGCCUCAGGGGGGUCCUCAAGGCCCUCCUGGGGCGGGGCUUGAGGAAAAAGAGGGCGGGGCCUCCCUUGGGCCCUUCUCAUUGGCCGAAGCCGCUUGGGCGUGGCUGGAGGGGGAGGGGCAGCUGGAGCGGGCUCGCCGCGCUCUGAUUGGUCGGAGGAAACAGCAGCUCCGCCUCCUGUCCAGCCUGGGGUUCCCUGACCCCGCCCCCGCGGGGCGGCGCUGCAGCGGCACCGGGGCAGCCAAUGGGAGGCGCUGUGCGAGCUGCAGCGGCUCAGGCUCCGCCCCUUCCGCCUACGUCAGCAGCAGGGGGCGAGCCUGGGCUGGACUUCAAUCAGCCCGACCAGCAGGUGACUGGUUUGUACUGGUUUAUACUGGGAGGGGGUUUGGGGGUUACUGGUUUGUACUGGGAGGGACUGGGAGGGGAUUUGGGGGUUACUGGUUUAUACUGGGUUAUACUGGGAGGGCACUGGGGGUG
RNAcentral lists this long non-coding RNA (870 nucleotides) under Serinus canaria (Common canary). RNAcentral's name for it is "lncRNA (ENSSCAG00000007515.1)". The record is from RNAcentral. Lineage: Eukaryota; Metazoa; Chordata; Aves; Passeriformes; Fringillidae.